Long non-coding RNA from Gorilla gorilla gorilla (western lowland gorilla), 1033 nucleotides. RefSeq lists it as uncharacterized. The transcript has 4 exons. NCBI's taxonomy places the organism in Eukaryota, Metazoa, Chordata, Mammalia, Primates, Hominidae. The record is from RefSeq and is a predicted model, not a curated record.
UACACCCGGAAGUGUUUUGGGGUCGCCCCCACGGCGGCGCGGCGGAGCUCAGCCUCGAUCUCGCGAAACCGAGCGAGACUACGAAAGGCCGAAGGAUUGGGCUCAGCAUUGCUUGGGCUAAAGGCUGCCUAGGGCUUCCAGGAAGUGAUGUAUGUGAGAAGUUUGCUUUUUAAAGUGUACGUGGGAUCGUUAUUACGUCGAAAUAGCUCGAGCUGUAACCUAGGGCUUGAGUGCAGUGGCAUGAUCUUGGCUCACUGCAACCUCCACCUCCCGAGUUCAAGCGAUUCUCCUGCCUCACCCUCCUGAGUAGCUGGGACUACAGGCCUGCGCCACCACACCUGGCUAACUUCUGAAUAUCAAGCUGAAAUUACUAUCAGAUAUCUUGCCACCACAUAGAGGCUUUGAGUGAAGUCUGCAUGGAGGAGAACAGAGCUGAGAGAUGGAAAGAUAUUGAAUCCCAGUGACGUCCUUUGAGAUGUCGGAUCAAGCUGAGCUGGGCGUGAAGAUAGAACUACUCCUAUACUUUUAAGAUACGCAGAACACCUGAGCCACAGUAUCAGAACUAGGGUUGGAAGCCUGCUUUUCCUGGAAUGAAACCCCUCACUCUUCAAGUGUCCACAAGACAAGAGUCAUUGUGCAGGCCUAUCUCUAGAGAGGCUAACAGACUCUUUCUGGCUUUGAAAGAAACAAGCUGCCAUAUUGAAACAAGCUGCCAUAUUAUGUGUGAGCUGCCCUAAGGAAAGACACACAUGGUAAGGAAGAGAGGAUGACCUCUGGCUGAUAGGCAGCAAGAAACUAAGGACCUCAGUCUGAGAACCUGCAAGGAGCUGAAUUCUUCCAAUUACCAUGUGAGCUUGGAAGCAGCUCCUUCCCCAGUCAAGCCUCAGAUGAGACCCCAGCCCUGGCCAACACCUUGAUUGCAGCCUCUUAUGAAGAUUGUAGUCCCUAAGCAGAAAAUCCAGAUAACCUGUGCCCAGAUUGCUGAGCCACAGAAAUUCACUGAGAUAAUAAACGUGUGUUUCAAGCUGCUGAA